GCAGGGCGCUCUGUUGGCUUCUCCAGGAGUGACUGUGCUGCUUUCCAAGAUGAAACCUCCCUUCCUUUGCAGUUCGCUGAGAGCUUCAGUGACCCUCGCUCAUCCUUUGGAGCCCUCUGCCAGGACGAGCCAGUUGUGUGUGGCUACUGGUGCCUGACCAUUCCUAUCCUGGCUGGAGUCUCCAGAGGUGAGUUUUUACUCUCUCCUCAGUGGAUUCUGACUUCCUGUGUCUGACGAGCCUGGGCAGUACCACAUCUCCUGAUACCACUGAGCAAAAGUGCCCCUGCGGACCCAUUCCACACCCAGCUCCUCCAAGAGCUUACCCAGGCGCUCAGGCGUCAGGAUGGAUGAUGAACUUUCCAAAAGGAAAAAGGUGGAAAAUCAUCGAAAGUACCAUAAACUCGCUCCCAGCUAAAUAAGUGUUUCCAUGUAGCAGGUGCAGAGUCAAGGGAAAUUAUAUUCCUGUACUCUUUAGCCUACCAACAAACAGCCUAUUAACCUCCUGUCAUAAUCUAGAUUAUUCUUGAAAGCAGAGCCUAAAACAGCAGUAGACACAUUCUAUGAGGAAAUAUGAUCCCGGGGAACAGGAAUGCGACAGAGGGGACCAAACGGAGAAAAGGGAAAGAAAAUCCAAGCAAAAUGAGGUGGUGUUAUUCAGUGGUCCAUGAGAGUUCAUGGCUACUUUGUGCAGCACCUCCCCAGGAUUCUUAUUAAACUUUGUCUCAGAGUUGUCUGCCUCAGGGACAGAAAGGAGAAGCAUUUAUCUCUCAGCAGCUAUCACCUGUGUUCUGAGGGCUACUCUCAUGGGGCUACCCCCCCACCCCCACCCCAGGAGAGCCCCACUGGUGCCAUAGCAUCACAUGUGCUGCACCAGAGGACAUUUGGAACAGGAAGCUAGAUUCUUGAUGCAUGCCUGAGGUGAGGGUGAAACCUGCCCAGAGCUGUUCACCAGAGCUGUGGCUGGAAUCAGACUGGAAGAGAGUUCAAAAGAGGCAUCUUAGAAGCCUAGCAAAUGUGCUGUUAGCCCUGUCUAAAUCCGUAUUCUCCUUUCUUUCUAUCAUUAGAAUUUCAUUGUCCAGAACAACAUUGGCAGAAGGAUUAAAUAGGAAGAUUAAAUGUAUUUCCUAGAAGCUGUAUGUUAAUAAACGCUAAACCUUGAGUGACAUUUAGAAGAAAAAGUGACACUAAAACUUGGAAAAUUAAAAAAUGAUUCUGAAGAGAAUAAAGAUGAGUAACAUUAAAAAAAAAUUCUACUUGAAACAUUUUACCAUCAGAUAGCAAUAUUAGAUAUCUUCUAAACUCAUGUAAUCUCAGAAGUAAUCAAUGAAUUGUUCAGAGAAAUAAAAUUAACCAUUUCUUAUAUUUCUGUGAGCCUUAUAGAUCAGUAUCAUUAAUUUUUCCUAAAAUACUGUUUUCUACUGUCACGUAGCACUCGAGAUAACAGAGAUUACAGCUAAUGAAGGGAGAAUUGAUAGAUGUACAGGAAGGAAAAAUAGUGGGAUAAUUUCCAUAACAUAAAUAGCUGUUAUUAAUAUUGGUUGGAAUCAGGGAGGCAGAAGAACUACACAUGGUGACUUGUUUCCCCUUUGAAGUUUUAUUUUUACCAGAAAUAAUUUUCUCCCUGCCUGUACCCGUGAGACAUCAUAAUCAUCAUCUCGUAUUUGGUCUGGAAUUCCCACCUUUGAGUCAUUUAAUAUGGAUUGAGCUUCUACUAUUUCCUACAUAUUGGCACAGUGCAUAUAUGAAAGACAUGCUGUAAAACAUCUCCAAACAUUUCAGAAUACAUACUCUUAAAGUACAAUCAGAACAUUUACCAAAACUGACCAUGUGAUUGAUCACAAAUCAUCUGAACAAAUUUCAAAAGACUGAAACCCUAUAAGAGUAUGAACCAGAAAUCAAUUAUAUAAAUAUUAAAAAAUUUCCCAAAUGGUUAUAACUUAAGGAAGAUACUCCUAAUGAUCCAGAAGUCAAAGUAUAGAUCACAGUAAAAUCUAGAAAAUACUUUGAAAUGAAUUCUAAUGAAAAUACAACAUAUCAAAACUUUGUGGGAUGCUGUGAAAACAAAUGCUUAUGGGAAAUUUAUACCUUUAAAUACAUAUAUUAGAAAGUUUGCAAAAGACUAGCAAUCAGUGUUUCAAGAAGCUAGGAAAAUAGUUGUGUGAAGCAGCUUUUCAGACCUUGGACAACUGGCAGCAAAGGACCAAUCCCUGGCAGGUGAAACAGGGUGAUCCUCCCAUUGCCUCUGGAUCACACUGAAGGAGGAAGAGCUUGAGCAGAGCAGAGCAGUCUUGCUGAGUUGAGGAGACAAAGAUUAGUAUCAAGUGGGACAGAUGUCUUGAAUUUUCAGGGCAGAGUAUCAGCGAGAAAGAAGAUACGUAGAGGAAAAAAAUUCAGAAAUUUAAAUACAGAUCCCUCUCUGUCCAUUACUGAACACUAAACAAUUCCCCAAACUAUUUUAAUUUUCAUCCAGCCACAUUGAAGAGUCCUCAUGGCAAACUCCACACUUUCACUAGGAUCCCAGGAAGGUUACACCUCACUUAAGUAGGGCUAAACUAGCCUUGCAAUAAAAUCUACCAUGGACUUGCUCAAAAAAACAAGCCUCAGUAAUACAAAACUGAUCCUCAGGUUACUUAACUAUCUGCCAAAACCUAGUCCAAAUUUGUUAGUUCAGGUCCUCCAAGAAGCACAUGCAAAUAUGGGAUUAGAUUUACAAGAGAUUUUAUUGAGAAAGGUUGAAAUAGGAAGCCAAAGCAGCAGAGUCUUCAGACUACCUAGCCUGUCUCACCCCUCUGAAAGAGAGGGAGAAGGAAAGAGGGUUGAGUAGCAAAGAGUCUCAGAUGGCAACCCAAUUCCAGGAAAGUUUCAGGUCAGAACUUGCUGCUCAGAGGAGUCCCAUGUUUCACAGGAAUAGGCACGCAUUAGGAUACCUGCUCCAUGGUUGUUCCAGUGAAAACAGCCCAUGGGAAAGUAGCCUCAGCACAAAGAUAAUGGAUGCAGAGAACAGCAGGGGCCCUCAGUCAGUAUGCUCCUGUCUGCAGGAGAUCUGGGUGGUGUACUUUCAUGGCUACCAUGGUCCAUGCCUUGUGCUGCCCAGCUCUCCCCAGGGAGCAAGGCCUCCAUGGUUCCUGUGGGUCUCUCUUCCUGGGGGGAGGCUUAGAAGAUGAAGGUUAGUAUGAUGAACUACAUCCCCUCUCAGGUGAUCUCAGGGCUGCAAGUGGUCCUUACCCUCUCCUUUCUCCACUAUCCAUUUUGGAUUCCCAUCACCUUAAUCACCUCAGCAGUUCUUAGUGGUUCACCUGAUCAUGUGAUAUAAACAUUAUCACAUCUAAGGGUCUGAACCCUUAGUAAUCAUUCCCUUCUGAGAUGCCCACAAGUGUCUGUUCACGAUUACAGUAGGGAAAGGGAGCAAUGGGAGAUACCAAGUGGCUCACCUGGGAUCCACACAUAUGCCUCCCCGUUCCACUUUGUGUAAGCAGCUGACCUCCUGCUCAUGAGGGUUGACGAUGCUGUGAAUAUGGUGAUUCCUCAUCUGCGUGCCCCUGGGCACAAGGAGUACAAAGUGCCCUAGUGGCAACCAUUUCUUUAGCUCAAUGGAAACAUUACUAUAGCCCAUGACAAGAAUAUACCUCUCUGGGAACCAAGACUCCAACUUACAGAGGGCAGAGCCACAGGGCAGGAAGCAUGCAUGUUUCCAAUAAGAAGUCAUUGGGAAUACUGUAAAUAAAGCCACUCCUUUUGCCAUUCCAUUUGACUCUCAUAAUCAUCCUAUUGGGGACACAACACCAUGAAGGUCUCUGGUUUAAUGAAUACACUGUAUCCUGAAGGAAGACAACCCAAUAUUUCAGAAUGUUGCCUAAAAACUCAUACUUUAGCUAUGACUUUAGAAGACUGUUUUACACUCUGCAAGGCUGACUACAUGUAUGAGACUGCAGGUGAUGUCUGCAGUAUGUGAUAGGACCAGGAAAUCCCAUGGUCAUGGGCCUACCCUUGUACCUUCAUCACCAUCAAGUGGUCUGAUACUAUGUAAGUGCUUUACAGUAGUCCUGCCUGAGGCUCUGCAGGUAGGAAAGGCAAACCUAUACCUGAACUAGGUUCUAUCCCUGUGAGGAUAAAUUACUAGCUCUUCUCAGAUGGGAGAGGCCUGUUAUAGUCAACUUGCCACCAGAUGACCAGUCUACUUGAGGAACAGUGCCAUGUUGAGGGGUCAGUAACAGUCUCUGUGGCUGACAGAAUGGACCUUCAGAGGCCACAAUAGCUGGAUCAGCCUUGGUAAGUGACGGCCCAUGUGUUGAGCCCAUAUAUAAUUUCCAGCUCUGCCAAGGUAGCUAUUCCAUUCAUGUGCCUGUCAUAGGGUGUCUGAUAACAAAGCCUGACUAACUUCAACUAGACAAAGACAUUUUAUUUGUUUGGUGUUUAAGUUAUCCCUUCCAAAAUGGAUGCUUUCUUGUGGAUGUUAAUGUGUGAGACAAAAAUCUUCACAGUCUGUGUCCACUCCCAUAUGUCCAUCCACAUUCCUCUACACCAGACUUACUUGGCUCCAUUAUCCAGACCUUUUUUCCAUCCAAGCCCCUGAACAAGUCAAGUCAUUAGCCACUGGCCAGUAAACUACGUAUUCUCAUUUAGAACCAGUUCUCCUCUGCAUCAAGUAGAUGACCAGGUAUGCCACUCACAACUCUGCUUAUUAGAAAGGCUUGCGGAGUUCCCGUCGUGGCGCAGUGGUUAACGAAUCCGACUAGGAACCAUGAGGUUGCGGGUUCCGUCCCUGCCCUUGCUCAGUGGGUUAACGAUCCGGCGUCGCCGUGAGCUGUGGUGUAGGUUGCAGACGCGGCUCGGAUCCCGCGUUGCUGUGGCUCUGGCGUAGGCUGGUGGCUACAGCUCUGAUUCAGCCCGUAGCCUGGGAACCUCCAUAUGCCGUGGGAGCGGCCCAAGAAAUAGCAACAACAACAACAACAAAAAAAGACAAAAAAAAAAAAGAAAGGCUUGCCCUUUCCAGUGACCUUCAACUUCAAGGCCACUCCUGGUCAUAACUAUAAUGCAGCCAACUAUUUCUGAUCCUCUUUCGUCUUUGACUGGGAUUGAAAAGUAUACAUACAUCAGAUCAAUGGACACAUACUAGAUACCUGAGCCUUUUUUUAUCUCUGUUAUGAAUUGUACCACAUCUGCACAGCAGCUGUAGUCAGGGCUAAUGCUGGAUUAUACUUGCAGUAGUCAUUCUCUCUAGUUUCUUCAAAGCCCAGACUAGCAAAAUAAAUGGAAAAAUUAUGGAGACCACCAAUGUUCUCCACCUCCCUCAACCCUGGCCAAGUGUUUUUGAUUUCCUAUCUUUGCUGAACGAGGAGGAAUUUCAGAGGUUUCCAAAAGGAAAACUUAAUAUUCCUCAACCUGUUUUAUAAGACAAGCAUAACUUUGAUACCAAACCUGACAAGGAUAUUACAAAAAGGGAAAAUUACAGAUGGAUCCGACAUAAAAGAGGAUUGUCAAAUCAGACUUGAAGACUCAUAGGAAUUAGAGAUUUUUACCCAUGAUAAAUUUUUGCUAAUAAUCACAAGAAUAUAAGCAAUCGAGAGGCAUAGGCAAAGCAGGGAGAAGUCCUGUACAAUGUCCAUAUUUCCCAUUUCCUUCCUUCUUGCACUGGAUGAGCUAUUAGCCCAAGCUGGAAAGAUACGUACUCUAAGGGAGGUCACUUCACACAACAUGGAGCAUUUUAGGUGAUGAUAAUUCCCAUUUUAUACCCAGGUAAUUGUAUAACAUAUGUGAUACUUUCCUGAGAACCAUGCCCCAUAAAUGCAUGGAUUGUGAUUUUAUUUGCUGUAGUCAAUUCUAAAUCAGGGAAAUCCUACUGAAAGUACUUCAUAGAUAAGGACUCAUGUCCUAGUAAUUAAUAUUACUUUAUUUACAUAAAGUCUCUUAUCACUAUGUUUACAAGGUUAUUAGCCUAGCUUAUUUGUUUGCUUUCUUUCCUGAAAAUAUUUCCAGGAAAUAUAAAUUGGAGGCAAGCCAUGUAAUUCUUUCUUACUCAGAAGUCAACAGACAUCACAAAUGUAGGUGCUGAAAUGCUAAAUGAAAUAUUCAAAUAGAAUCUGCGACUUGUAAAGAGGCUAAUACAUCAUGACAUUGGUUUAACAUUUAAACAUUAACAUAACAUAUAACAGAAAAAAA
Molecule: long non-coding RNA, 6159 nt
Filed under: Sus scrofa (pig)
Lineage: Eukaryota; Metazoa; Chordata; Mammalia; Artiodactyla; Suidae
Description: lncRNA (ENSSSCG00025061563.1)
Source: RNAcentral